Equus caballus (horse) is the source of this 759-nucleotide non-coding RNA. Lineage: Eukaryota; Metazoa; Chordata; Mammalia; Perissodactyla; Equidae. The record is from RefSeq and is a predicted model, not a curated record.
GUAGUGCCAGCGGAUGCCGUUGAGCUUGCGCGCGUGGUGGCGGGCUGGGUAGUAGACGCCGUUGAGGUUGGAGAGGCCGCAGGCGUCAAACCACCACCCUGUGGAGGGGGAAGAAGAGGCUUUGGGGACGCGGGGGCCCAGUGGGGAGGAGGUGAGACCAUGGAGGGGACCUCAAGGACCCGGUGGGGGAAGAUGAGGAAACAGAGAUCCCAAGGGCCACAGGAGCCUGCCCAGGUCUCAGAGCAAAUGCAGGGGAGAGCCGAUCCCAGCCCCGUGUGGCCUGACUUGGGAGCUGUUGCAUUUUCCUCCCCAGCUGACUGUUCUGCACCCCCAGCCCCGGCACACAUACUCACAUCCACCCACCUCCUCCAGGAAGCCUUCCCUGACCACACCAGCCCUCAUGGAUGUGCUCCGGGGCGCCCCCAGCCCUGUGACUUCUACAUCUGCUGCCAUCUGGGGAGGGUGUAUAUUUUUCUGCCAGUCUGUGAGGACUUGGCGGGCACGUCCAAGCCUGUGGGGUGACUAUGACCACGAACUCUUGGGGUGGGACACCUGGAUUCAAAUCCCAGCUCUGCCACUUGCCAGCUGCACAGCCUUGGGUAGAUGGCUUCGCCUCUGAGCUUCAGUGCCUUCAUCUGUUAAAAUGGUGAGGAUAGUAACACUGACAGUGAUGACCUUGUUGGGCUGCUGUGAUGGGCUGACCUCAGUGUGCGAUGAGUCAGCACAGGGCAGGCCCGUGGUAAACGCUCAGUGCAUUUA